Molecule: small RNA, 140 nt
Filed under: Mycobacterium tuberculosis H37Rv
Lineage: Bacteria; Bacillati; Actinomycetota; Actinomycetes; Mycobacteriales; Mycobacteriaceae
Also listed under: 3 other names
Description: Putative small regulatory RNA
Source: RNAcentral
GCUGUCUGUACGACUGCACCGAGGGGUGAGCGCGUGUCGCACGAAAGUCUGUUCGAAGAAAGCGAAGCGCCCUACGCGGCGCUGUGCGUAGUUGCCAACUUCACGACAGACGGCGAGUGAGCAGGCGCUCAUCACCAGGG